CUUCUUAAGUUUAAUGUCAAAUUUACUUUUGACUUUUUUGUUAAAGAAAUAUAUUUAUAUUUUAAUCCGCAGGAUGUGCAGAGGGGGCUUCAAUCACAGGAACAGAGUGAAGCAGUCUAUAAGGCACAAGUCAAUUUUCAGCCAGUCCAAGUUAUCUCUUUUUGAUUGGUCACGGUUCAUUUACAGGUUUUCACAAGGACUGCGUUUAAGACAGAUUGACCUGAUGAUGGAUGAGAUAUCAAGGAGUCCGACCUCUCUUUCAAAGAUGGCAAAGAAGCUACGAGAAGUAUGUAUUUGGGCACUUAAUAGAAGAAGGAGAAGGAAGGGACAGCGAUUGGGUGGAAGACACGAGUAUGUGGUGAUCGACGAAAGCCACUUCAGACAUAAGAGAAAGUAUGGGAGAGGCAGAGCGGCUGGGGGGUGGAAAAGAAAAAAGUGGGUUUUUGGCAUGUUGGGCGUGAAGAAAAGUGAUGGGAAGAGUCAGAGACCAAUCCUGCGCCUGGUGGACAGGCGAACCAGACAAGAACUUGUCCCUUUGCUAUGCCGACAUGUAAAAAUGGGCUCUUACAUCAUUAGUGAUGAAUGGCGGUCAUACCGCGUACUUAAUGAUCUGGGGUUCAGACACUUGACUGUAAACCACAGUAUGUGGUAUAUGGAUCCUAUUACAGGAAACCAUACACAGCACAUUGAACGUGCUUGGCGAACUGUUAAGGAGCAGGUCUGGAGACAAAGGGGCAACCGGACAGAAGAACUGUUGUCA
Gadus chalcogrammus (walleye pollock) is the source of this 760-nucleotide long non-coding RNA. RefSeq lists it as uncharacterized. The record is from RefSeq and is a predicted model, not a curated record. The transcript is spliced from 3 exons. Lineage: Eukaryota; Metazoa; Chordata; Actinopteri; Gadiformes; Gadidae.